This 647-nucleotide ribosomal RNA is filed under the name Bowmanella pacifica. Its description in RNAcentral is "bacterial SSU rRNA". It matches the Rfam family "Bacterial small subunit ribosomal RNA", at positions 64 to 706 of the family's 1533-position model. The record is from RNAcentral. Lineage: Bacteria; Pseudomonadati; Pseudomonadota; Gammaproteobacteria; Alteromonadales; Alteromonadaceae.
GAGCGGUAGCACAGAGGAGCUUGCUCCUUGGGUGACGAGCGGCGGACGGGUGAGUAAUGCUUAGGAACUUGCCUCUUGGAGGGGGACAACAGUUGGAAACGACUGCUAAUACCGCAUGAUGUCGCAAGACCAAAGGGGGCUUCGGCUCCUGCCAAGAGAGAGGCCUAAGUGAGAUUAGCUAGUUGGUGGGGUAAAGGCUCACCAAGGCGACGAUCUCUAGCUGUUCUGAGAGGAAGAUCAGCCACACUGGGACUGAGACACGGCCCAGACUCCUACGGGAGGCAGCAGUGGGGAAUAUUGGACAAUGGGCGCAAGCCUGAUCCAGCCAUGCCGCGUGUGUGAAGAAGGCCUUCGGGUUGUAAAGCACUUUCAGUGGGGAGGAAAGGUUGGUGGUUAAUACCCAUCAGCUGUGACGUUACCCACAGAAGAAGCACCGGCUAACUCCGUGCCAGCAGCCGCGGUAAUACGGAGGGUGCGAGCGUUAAUCGGAAUUACUGGGCGUAAAGCGCACGCAGGCGGAUUGUUAAGCUAGAUGUGAAAGCCCCGGGCUCAACCUGGGAAUUGCAUUUAGAACUGGCAGUCUAGAGUCUUGGAGAGGGGGGUGGAAUUCCAGGUGUAGCGGUGAAAUGCGUAGAGAUCUGGAGGAA